UUGGAGAUUUGCAUGGUGCCUUGUGUGCCUAGCUGCCCUAAUCCUAGGUGGGAAAAUCGCUCACUCGCGUGACGAUUCCCGCUACCCAAACGAACCCCGGCGCGAAAAGCGUCAAGGAAUACAAAUUCAUUGUGCCCAUUCCUAACCCGAUUAUUCGGUGUUGUGGUUUGGUGCCCAUGUUACUAACAAUAAACGACUCUCGGCAACGGAUAUCUCGGCUCUCGCAUCGAUGAAGAACGUAGCGAAAUGCGAUACUUGGUGUGAAUUGCAGAAUCCCGUGAACCAUCGAGUUUUUGAACGCAAGUUGCGCCCGAAGCCUUGGCUAAGGGCACGUCUGCCUGGGCGUCACGCAUCGCGUCUCCCCUAACCAAUUACAUUGGAAGGGAAGGACGAUGGCUUCCCGUGCCUCACCGGGCGCGGUUGGCCUAAAAUUGGAGCCCACGGUAAUUACUGCCGCGGCGAUAGGUGAUGAACUUGGCUAAGGCCGUGUAAACAACCCGUUGCGGUGUGUUAUUGUGGACUCGUUGGACCCUAUUUGUUUUGCCUUGUGCAAUUCAAACCUUU
RNAcentral lists this ribosomal RNA (564 nucleotides) under Petrorhagia saxifraga. RNAcentral describes it as "eukaryotic LSU rRNA". The stretch from base 195 to 348 matches the Rfam family "5.8S ribosomal RNA". Lineage: Eukaryota; Viridiplantae; Streptophyta; Magnoliopsida; Caryophyllales; Caryophyllaceae. The record is from RNAcentral.